AGUGAACGCUGGCGGUAGGCCUAACACAUGCAAGUCGAGCGGCAGCACAGUAAGAGCUUGCUCUUACGGGUGGCGAGUGGCGGACGGGUGAGGAAUACAUCGGAAUCUACUUUUUCGUGGGGGAUAACGUAGGGAAACUUACGCUAAUACCGCAUACGACCUACGGGUGAAAGCAGGGGAUCUUCGGACCUUGCGCGAUUGAAUGAGCCGAUGUCGGAUUAGCUAGUUGGCGGGGUAAAGGCCCACCAAGGCGACGAUCCGUAGCUGGUCUGAGAGGAUGAUCAGCAACACUGGAACUGAGACACGGUCCAGACUCCUACGGGAGGAAGCAGUGGGGAAUAUUGGACAAUGGGCGCAAGCCUGAUCCAGCCAUACCGCGUGGGUGAAGAAGGCCUUCGGGUUGUAAAGCCCUUUUGUUGGGAAAGAAAAGCAGCAGGUUAACACCCCGCUGUUCUGACGGUACCCAAAGAAUAAGCACCGGCUAACUUCGUG
RNAcentral lists this ribosomal RNA (492 nucleotides) under uncultured bacterium. RNAcentral's name for it is "partial 16S ribosomal RNA". It matches the Rfam family "Bacterial small subunit ribosomal RNA", at positions 29 to 507 of the family's 1533-position model. The record is from RNAcentral.